This 71-nucleotide transfer RNA is filed under the name Rattus norvegicus (Norway rat). It matches the Rfam family "tRNA". Rfam says of the family: Transfer RNA (tRNA) molecules are approximately 80 nucleotides in length. Lineage: Eukaryota; Metazoa; Chordata; Mammalia; Rodentia; Muridae. The record is from Rfam by way of RNAcentral.
UCGCAUUUGGCUCAGUGGUAGAGCGCUUGCCUAGCAAGCACAAGGCCCUGGGUUCGAUCCCCAGCUCCGAA